RNAcentral lists this ribosomal RNA (326 nucleotides) under uncultured eukaryote. Its description in RNAcentral is "partial 18S ribosomal RNA". It matches the Rfam family "Eukaryotic small subunit ribosomal RNA", at positions 1470 to 1796 of the family's 1831-position model. The record is from RNAcentral.
CCCUUAGAUGUUCUGGGCCGCACGCGCGUUACAAUGAAUCGUUCAACAGGUUUCUUCCUGAGUCGAAAGGCUUGGGUAAUCCUUUAAAUACGGUUCGUGCUAGGGAUAGAUUUUUGCAAUUAUUAAUCUUGAACGAGGAAUAUUUAGUAAACGCAGGUCAUCAGCCUGCAUUGAUUACGUCCCUGCCCUUUGUACACACCGCCCGUCGCACCAACCGAUUGGAUGUUUUGUUGAAAUAUGUGGAUGCUUGUUGGGUGAAUUCAUUUUUGCUUGAUAGACAGAAACGUAUUAAAACUGAAGAUCUAGAGGAUGGUGAAGUCGUAACA